AAUUCAUCUUGCGUGUGUAGUGCAUACACAUGAGGUGUGCACACACCCAUGUACACAUAUGCCAUCAUCUGUGUGCAUAAGCAUACUCAGGUGUUCAGACAGUGUCAUCCGGACUCUGCCUCUGCAUCUUUCAGUCCUGCUUCGAUAUCGGCUACUGCUUCAGUAGGCUGUGAAGGUGCUGCACUGAGACAACAUUACCCUAUCUAUUUAGAAUCCAAAGGGAGUAAACUUUGUCCACAAUUUUUAGCAAAGUUCAUGGAAGUCACUCUCUGUACUGAGGUCUGGAUUUCAUGGUAUCUGUGGAGUUAUAGGUGGAAUAAAGUCGUUUGGACUGAGGAUUUGGAGUCUCCAAAGGAAAAUCAUGGUACUAUUAUCACCCACACCUGAUGUCCAGCAUAUUGGGAACAUAGGAGAAGCAUAAGGUCUUGGAAAGAGAAAACAUUUUUUAAUUUUAGUGAGAAUGAUUAAAAAGAUACAGUAAUUUAAAAAAAAAAUGAAUACUCAUGCAGAACGUAUUAUGAGCUAGAUAAAGUUUUGGUCUUUGGAGAAUUUUAUCUAUAUUGACUGUAUUCUCUCUCACAAUGUUGCUAUGAGGUACAUAACUCCAUUUUUCAGAUUAGAAAAUUGAGGGAAACUGAAGAUAUUCAGAAAUAAUGGCAACCAACUAUUUAUUUACUAUUUGCUAAAUAAUUUCCUAAAUAAAAUUUUAAAGUUAUUAUCUUUCCUGGCAAUGCAUAAUUAUGGAGAAGUCACUGUUAUAAGCAUCAAAUGCCUAGCUAUGUACAAAAAGACAAAGUAUCUGCCAUCUGGGAAAUCGUGCUACUGUGACAUGAUAAUAAACAGGUAGAAAAAGUUGGCUUUCAAUGCUUAAGUACCAUCAGCAAAGUAUGAUGGGAGGCCUUCAGUUUAAAUGAAUGCUGCAUGUUCAGUCCAAAUCCCUCUAAACAUAACUGAUAUAUGAAUUGAUAUCAUACUACAUAUUUCUGUUUUUGAGUAUCAGCAUAAUUUUGAGUGGAGAAAAAUAUACAUACACCUUUAUCUGCGGUGAGAUGUUCCCUCUUUCUAUGUAAAGAAAAUUGAAAUAGAAUUGUGUUGUUUUAGAAAAACAAGAUUAAAUUUCUUUUGUUUAAUAAAUGUAAAUCAUUUACUUAUUGAAAGUAGGUAACGGGAAGAUCAUGAUCACAGCUAAUGAUUAUUGAGUCCUUGAAAAAUACUGAAUAGUCUUGACUUAAAUCGUCUUUAGAUUAACUGGCAUUAUUAUAAACCUAUUUUACCAGCAUGGAAAUUCCUGUGGUCACCUGGCCCUUAGUGCACCAAAUGCCAUAUAGUCAGGAUUUGAACCCAGUGAGAUACAGCUAGAGCAGCAUGCUUCUACUCACUGCACCAUGAUGCCUCCAUAGAACCCCAUGGUUUUCAUUGGUGCUGCUUGUUCUCUUGUCUCAACUGUGAAAACAUCUGAGACUUUGCAGCUGCCUCAGAGAAGUAGAAAGAAAAUUGCAGUCCCUUUCCUGAUACUACCAGGGAUAGGAAAGUGACUGCAAACAUUGAACACAAUUUUAAGAGUAAGAAAUGCUUGGACUCACUGUUUACUGAAUCGCAUAGUGCAGAAUAUGAAUUCAGGCAGUGGCUGACUUUGUCCUCCACCUGUGUAAACAAGGCGGUAGACUCCAGGAGGGAAUCUGAGAUAAGUUUAAAAAAUUUUUUUAAUUAUUAGUUUUGUAACCUAUGACACCUGUAUGUGCAGUUUCUGUGGCCCUCUUUAACUCUAAAUGGAUUAUGGGGCAAGUUGAUAAAUAGUCCAUCACCUAGAAAACAGUUAUGCAGAACAGGCCCCAUCUGUGAAAGAAAACAAAAAUCAACUUCAUUAAUGUCUAUGUUUUUGGGAAGGAAAUUCUCCCUUAUGCUUUUCACAGUUAUGUAAAUCUCAGGCACAAAAAAAGCCUUUUCAUAAGUAUUAGCAUAUACAUUUUUUUAAAUAAUGAGAAUGUUUUAAAUGUUACAAUGAAAAUACAAAGUGACAUAAUAGUUAAAUUUCAAUAAUAC
RNAcentral lists this long non-coding RNA (2043 nucleotides) under Macaca mulatta (Rhesus monkey). RNAcentral describes it as "lncRNA (ENSMMUG00000052241.1)". Lineage: Eukaryota; Metazoa; Chordata; Mammalia; Primates; Cercopithecidae. The record is from RNAcentral.